This 254-nucleotide ribosomal RNA is filed under the name uncultured bacterium. RNAcentral describes it as "partial 16S ribosomal RNA". It matches the Rfam family "Bacterial small subunit ribosomal RNA", at positions 524 to 776 of the family's 1533-position model. The record is from RNAcentral.
UACGGGGGGAGCAAGCGUUGUUCGGAUUUACUGGGCGUAAAGGGCGCGUAGGCGGUCGUGACAAGUCACUUGUGAAAUCUCCGGGCUUAACUCGGAACGGUCAAGUGAUACUGUCGGACUAGAGUACAGAAGGGGCAACUGGAAUUCUUGGUGUAGCGGUGAAAUGCGUAGAUAUCGAGAGGAACACCUGCGGCGAAGGCGGGUUGCUGGGCUGAUACUGACGCUGAGGCGCGAAAGCCAGGGGAGCGAACGGG